GGCUUAUUCAUUCACAUGCUGUGAUUCGCUGACCUUGUCACGUGGGUUGCUCGAGUCUUCCCGCACUAUCGGGACAGUUUCGGAGCAACACGCCGUGAGCAGGUUGGGAGAGCCCGAGAAAAAAACGAAUGUAAAACUAGACGUGAUAAAGUCCAGAUUGAGAACCACUGGUGUCGGCUUUAGGAAGGUGUUUGGGGAUCAGGAGCAGACAGAUGAACUCGAGACUGCGGUUAACCAGAUUGGCAGCAGUAGAUGGGCACGUUUCCUGACUCCUGAUGUCUACAGGUCCUCAGUAGUGUCCAGUUGUCCAAUUUCAGGCCUAUGCACUUUUCUAGUGCACUUCAUGUUUUGAGUGAACAGAUGCAUCUCCAUACCACACCAGCCUGCUUACCUGCAACCCCAGGGCUUUAACAUGUCACCCUGGAUCCUUGGUUCUUUCCAGCAGCGAUCCCUGUAAAAGUGACAUCCGGCUGUUAUCUGUCCAAACCUGGAGUUCGGAGGAGAAUUUAAGACAAGAAGGCGAUGGGCCAGAGGACAUGAAUUUCAGACACGAGAAGGACUGCGGCAUUGUGUCAGUUGAGCAGGGAAUGGCUGAGCAUCAUGGGCAAGUGUACCAGCUAACCCACAGGGUAGUCGGGGAGCAUUUUUGUAUAAGAAUGUCUAGUCGGGUGGAUGUAUUUAAAUUGUAUAUUUUGAGUUCUCUCUGUUAUAAUUAUUAAUUCAUUUUAAGAUCCUCCUUUUGUUUUUCACUAUCACAUCCAAUAUCAUUGUUUGGGUUUA
Molecule: long non-coding RNA, 780 nt
Organism: Erpetoichthys calabaricus (reedfish)
Lineage: Eukaryota; Metazoa; Chordata; Cladistia; Polypteriformes; Polypteridae
Exons: 3
Source: RefSeq, a predicted model, not a curated record